AAGCGCUCGUCACUAGACGUGCGCCCGGCGGAUAACCGGCGCUCGCGCCGGUGCAUGUCGUCGGGCGCAGGCCAGCAUCAGUCCGCCGCGGGGGACAAAGGCUUCGGGAACGUGGCUCCCCCGGGAGUGUUAUAGCCCGCUGCGCAAUGCCCUGGGGCGGACUGAGGUUCGCGCAUCCGCAUGGAUGCUGGCGUAAUGGUGACCAGCGA
RNAcentral lists this ribosomal RNA (209 nucleotides) under Ophiocordycipitaceae sp. RNAcentral's name for it is "partial large subunit ribosomal RNA". Lineage: Eukaryota; Fungi; Ascomycota; Sordariomycetes; Hypocreales; Ophiocordycipitaceae. The record is from RNAcentral.